GUGAACCCAUGAGCAUAUCCCAAGCCUUGGUUGGGGCGGUGGAGCACCGGUGGCGAUGGAUCGAACCACCCAAAUUCUAGGGUUUCCGGCAGGUUUGAAUGAAUUGGACUUAGGCCCAGGUAUAAAAGAUGUUCCCCUUAACUUGCUCUACAUUUCUGUAAAAUUUGAGAAUUUUUAGAAAUAGUAGAAUUUUCGAGUGAGCCAGGGCGGCGCAUAACAAGUGAGCCAAUGCCAUGUUUUUAAGCUAAUUUUGAUGUUAUAAAACCAAAUUUGAUAAGCAUUUGGUGUGAUUCACUUGUUUGAAGCUAGAUGGUGAUUGUUAGUCACUUGUAUGAAUUUCGGAAUUUGACUGAAUUUGAAUUGGUGAACUAUGAAUGGCUUGAUCCCUAUUUAGGGUAUGUAGGCAGUUUAACGAGAAGUUAGAUGCAGCCAUAAAAUAAACGAGGUUAAUUGAUCGAAAAUAUAAUAAUAUGUGACGAAAAGUGAAUUAUGGUUAUAGAUUGUGUGUGGAAUUAAGAAAUUUAAGUAAAGAAUUGUGGAUGUUGGUAGUAAACUAAACAAGAGUUUAAUUUGGGGCCUAUCACCGAUGUUAUUUUCAUAAAUGAAUAUUUUGGAGGUGGGGUGUU
Molecule: long non-coding RNA, 626 nt
Filed under: Malus domestica (apple)
Lineage: Eukaryota; Viridiplantae; Streptophyta; Magnoliopsida; Rosales; Rosaceae
Description: long non-coding RNA (MDOM_LNC018131)
Source: RNAcentral